Molecule: long non-coding RNA, 662 nt
Organism: Oxyura jamaicensis (ruddy duck)
Lineage: Eukaryota; Metazoa; Chordata; Aves; Anseriformes; Anatidae
Exons: 2
Source: RefSeq, a predicted model, not a curated record
UUUUAACUACAGUCUCAUAGGAACGCAGCGCCGGAAAAUCACGACCAGAUGUAAAUAAAGAGGCGCCUUGUUCUCUCCGUUAAAAUCCCCUUUAAACGCAACUGGAAAAAAUAAAGGAAAAGAACACGUGAGCAAUGUCAUGGGUGAGACAUACUGAUGGUAGAGGCUGCUCUGGCUCUACUGAGGGAUUCUGCCAGGUAGGAGCCACCACAGUAGCUGCCUGCUUAUGGUACUGAUCUGAGUGCUGCUAAAAAAUGCUUGUGCCUGCUGAAAACUGAAAGACAAGAAGGAGGCAGAAGAUCCUGAGGCACUGUGCACUCUCUGGGGCUCCCAGUUGACCUUCCAUGGCUGUUAAGGGGAAAGGGCUGCCCAGGCCUACCUGUGUGUGCUAAGAGCUGCACCAGGCAUUUCCCAAAUGCUGUGAGCUGUUGGCAACCUGAGCACUGGAACAUCUUGUUCAGUUCAGCAAGGUUCACACCUCUGCUUUGAAUUAUCUCCUGAGUCCCUUACAGAUGGCAAGAGUAGUACUGUGUGUGCGGCUCUUCAUCAUGGUAGACAGGCAGCCCAAGCCCUUCGUGGGGUGUCCACCAGCAUGAGGGCAGCUCAGAGCACUGGGACAGAGACACAAAAUACCUUUCAUUGACACGCCUUGCUGAUUAAAA